UACGUAGGUGACGAGCGUUAUCCGGAAUUACUGGGCGUAAAGCGCACGCAAGCGGUUGGACAAGUCUGGCGUGAAAUCUUCUGGCUUAACCAGGAGCGGUCGCUGGAGACUGUUCGGCUUGAGGCGAUGAGAGGGGUGCAGAAUUCCCGGUGUAGUGGUGGAAUGCGUAGAGAUCGGGAGGAAUACCAGUGGCGAAAGCGGCACCCUGGCGUCGUACUGACGCUCAUGUGCGAAAGCGUGGGGAGCGAACGGG
RNAcentral lists this ribosomal RNA (253 nucleotides) under uncultured prokaryote. RNAcentral's name for it is "partial 16S ribosomal RNA". It matches the Rfam family "Bacterial small subunit ribosomal RNA", at positions 524 to 776 of the family's 1533-position model. The record is from RNAcentral.